AUUGAACGCUGGCGGAAUGCUUUACACAUGCAAGUCGAACGGCAGCACGGACUUCGGUCUGGUGGCGAGUGGCGGACGGGUGAGUAAUGUAUCGGAACGUGCCCAGUCGUGGGGGAUAACGUAGUGAAAAUUACGCUAAUACCGCAUACGAUCUAUGGAUGAAAGCGGGGGAUCGCAAGACCUCGCGCGAUUGGAGCGGCCGAUAUCAGAUUAGGUAGUUGGUGGGGUAAAGGCCCACCAAGCCAACGAUCUGUAGCUGGUCUGAGAGGACGACCAGCCACACUGGAACUGAGACACGGUCCGGACUCCUACGGGAGGCAGCAGUGGGGAAUUUUGGACAAUGGGCGAAAGCCUGGUCCAGCCAUUCCGCGUGCAGGAUGAAGGCCCUCGGGUUGUAAACUGCUUUUGUACAGAACGAAAAGGUUUCUACUAAUACUAGGAGCUCAUGACGGUACUGUAAGAAUAAGCACCGGCUAACUACGUGCCAGCCGCCGCCGUAA
RNAcentral lists this ribosomal RNA (500 nucleotides) under uncultured bacterium. Its description in RNAcentral is "partial 16S ribosomal RNA". It matches the Rfam family "Bacterial small subunit ribosomal RNA", at positions 30 to 523 of the family's 1533-position model. The record is from RNAcentral.